UAUGACCACAUCAUGUUGAAGCAUCAGUUCCCAUACAACCUCCAAAGUUAAGCAACAUGGAGCCUGGACAGUACCUAGAUGGGUGACCAUUUGAGAAUACCAUGUGCCAU
Acanthosepion pharaonis is the source of this 110-nucleotide non-coding RNA. The record is from the annotation of a GenBank genome assembly. NCBI's taxonomy places the organism in Eukaryota, Metazoa, Mollusca, Cephalopoda, Sepiida, Sepiidae.